Non-coding RNA from Lyophyllum atratum, 94 nucleotides. NCBI's taxonomy places the organism in Eukaryota, Fungi, Basidiomycota, Agaricomycetes, Agaricales, Lyophyllaceae. The record is from the annotation of a GenBank genome assembly.
GUCACUUUGCCGGAGUGGUUAACGGGAUCGCCUGCUAUUCCAGUAGCUAAGCGGUUGGUCUUUGACCGCGAGUGUUCGAAUCGCUCAGGUGACG